Long non-coding RNA from Cyprinus carpio carpio, 3745 nucleotides. Lineage: Eukaryota; Metazoa; Chordata; Actinopteri; Cypriniformes; Cyprinidae. The record is from Ensembl.
AAAAUUGUUACAGCAAUAGUUAUGAUCUCUGGAGACACAGUUGUGAUUAUUGGAGGUGCAUUUGUUGUGGUAAUGUGUGUUGCCUGGCUUAGAGCUGGAACUAUAUUAGUGAAAGCAACAGUUGUGCUUGAUAGAGGUGCAGUUGUUAUUUGGAAUGCAGUUGUUGUUGCCACUGUAGGAGUGUUCUUGCUUGAUGUCGUUGGAUCAUUAGUUGUUUUAGAUGUGGUUGAUGAAGCUGUAGUUGUGGUCUCUGCUGUUGUACUUUCUGAAGUGGUAGGCAGUGUUGUUGAAGUAAUGGGUGUGGUUUCUGUACUCACAACUGUGGAGGUGGGAGUUUCAGUAGUUGGGGAUGCUGUAGUUAUUGAUCUUGUUACAGGUGCAGUUGUUUCUGAAGAUGUAGGCAUUGUUGAAGUAAGAGUUGUGGAUUCAGAAGUUACAGCUGUUGAUGUUGUUGGAUCAUGUGUUGCAGUAGAUGUGGUUGAUAAAGCUGUAGUCGUGGUUUCUGCUGUUGUACUUUCUGAAGUUGUAGUCAGUGUUGUUGAAGUAGUAGUUGUGGUGGUCUCUGUACUCACAACUGUGGUUGUUGGAAUUUCGCUAGUUGACAAUCCUUUAGUUGCUGAUGUUGUUACAGGUGCAGUUGUUUCUGAAGAUGUAGGUAUCGUUGUUGAAGUAAGAGUUGUGGAUUCUGAAGUUACAGCUGUUGAUGUUGCUGGAUUGUUUGUUUUUGUAGAUGUGGUUGAUGAAGCUGUAGUUGUGGUUUCUGCUGUUGUACUUUCUGAAGUUGUAGGCAGUGUUGCUGAAGUAGUAGUUGUGGUCUCUGUACUCACAACUGUGGUUGUUGGAAUUUCACUAGUUGACAAUCCUUUAGUUGCUGUUAUUCUUACAGGUGCAAUUGUUUCUGAAGAUGUAGGUAUCGUUGUUGAAGUAAGAGUUGUGGAUUCUGAAGUUACAGCUGUUGAUGUUGCUGGAUUGUUUGUUGUUGUAGAUGUGGUUGAUGAAGCUGUAGUUGUGGUUUCUGCUGUUGUACUUUCUGAAGUUGUAGGCAUUGUUGUGGAAGCAAUAGUUGUGGUUUCUGUACUCACAACUGUGGUGGUGGGAAUUUCAGUAGUUGAGGAUGCUGUAGUUAUUGAUGUUGUUACAGGUGCAGUUGUUUCUGAAGAUGUAGGUAUCGUUGUUGAAGUAAGAGUUGUGGAUUCUGAAGUUACAGCUAUUGAUGUUGCUGGAUUGUUUGUUGUUGUAGAUGUGGUUGAUGAAGCUGUAGUUGUGGUUUCUGCUGUUGUACUUUCUGAAGUUGUAGGCAUUGUUGUGGAAGAAAUAGUUGUGGUUUCUGUACUCACAACUGUGGUGGUGGGAAUUUCAGUAGUUGAGGAUGCUGUAGUUAUUGAUGUUGUUACAGGUGCAGUUGUUUCUGAAGUUGUAGGAAUUGUUGUUGAAGUAAGUGUUAGGGAUUCUGAAGUUACUACUGUUGAUGUUGUUGGAUUGUUUGUUAUUGUAGAUGUGGUUGAUGAAGCUGUAGUGGUGGUUUCCACUGUUGUACUUUCUAAAGUUGUAGGCAAUGUUGUUGAAGUAAUAGGUGUGGUCUCUGUACUUACAACUGUGGUUGUGGGAAUUUCUGUAGAUGAGGAAGCUUUAGUUACUGAUGUUGUUACAGGUGCAGUUGUAUCUGAAGAUGUAAGCAUAGUUGUUGAAGUAAGAGUUGUGGAUUCUGAAGUUACUGCUGCUGAUGUUGUUGGAUCAUUUGUUGUUGUAGAUGUGGUUGAUGAAGCUGCAGUUGUGGUCUCUGCUGUUGUUCUUUCUGAAGUUGUAGGCAGUGUUGUUGAAGUAAUAGUUGUGGUUUCCUCACAACUGUGGUGGUGGGAAUUUCAGUAGUUGAGGAUGCUGUAGUUACUGAUGUUGUUACAGGUGCGGUUGUUUCUGAAGAUGUAGGCAUUGUUGAUGUAAGAGUUGUGGAUUCUGAAGAUACAGCUGCUGAUGUCGUUGGAUCAUUUGUUGUUGUAGAUGUGGUUGAUGAAGCUGUAGUUGCGGUCUCUGUUGUUGUACUUUCUGAAGUUGUAGGCAGUGUUGUUGAAGUAAUGCGUGUGGUUUCGGUCCUCACAACUGUGUUGGUGGGAAUUUCAGUAGUUGAGGAUGCUGUAAUUACUGAUGUUGUUACAGGUGCAGUUGUUUCUGAAGAUGUAGGCAUUGUUGAAGUAAGAGUUGUCGAUUCUGAAGUUACAGCUGUUGAUGUUGUUGGAUCAUUUGUUGUUGUAGAUGUGGUUGAUGAAGCUGUAGUUGUGGUCUCUGCUGUUGUACUUCCUGAAGUUGUAGGCAGUGUUGUUGAAGUAAUAGUUGUGGUCUCUGUACUCACAUCUGUGGUUGUGGGACUUUCAGCAGUUGAGUAUGCUGUAGUUACUGAUGUUGUUACAGGUGCGGUUGUUUCUGAAGAUGUAGGCAUUGUUGAUGUAAGAGUUGUCGAUUCUGAAGUUACAGCUGUUGAUGUUGCUGGAUUGUUUGUUGUUGUAGAUGUGGUUGAUGAAGCUGUAGUUGUGGUUUCUGCUGUUGUACUUUUUGAAGUUGUAGGCAUUGUUGUUGAAGCAAUUGUUGUGGAUUCUGAAGUUACUGCUAUUGAUGUUGUUGGAUCAUUUGUUGUUGUAGAUGUAGCUAUAGUUGUGGUUUCUGCUGUUGUACUUUUUGAAGUUGUAGGCAGUGUUGUUGAAGUAAUGGCUGUUGUUUCGGUCUUCACAACUGUGGUGGUGGAAAUUUCAGUAGUUGAGGAUGCUGUAGUUGUUGAUGUUGUUACAGGUGCAGUUGUUUCUGAUAAUGUAGGCAUAGUUGUUGAAGUAAGAGUUGUGGAUUCUGAUGUUACAGCUGUUGAUGUUUUUGGAUCGUUUGUUGUAGAUGUAGUUAAUGAACCUGUAGUUGUGGUUUCCACUGUUUUAACUGUAGCAGUGGAAUGUUCAGUUGUGGCUGUGGAUGCAGUAUUUGUUGUUUCAGCUGCUUUUGUCUUUUCUGAAGACGUAGUCAUGGUUGUUGAAGCAAGUCUUUCUGUAGUUAUAACCAUUGUUGCACCUGAAGAAUCUGAUGAGGUUGGAGCUGGUUUUGCUGAGGUUGAAAUGGCAAGUAUAGUUGUUCUUUCUGAAGCCGUAUAUCCUGAAGUUGAAGACUCCUUUUUUGAAGCACUGGAUUUUAAAAAGAAAAAUAUAAUAAAUUAUAUACCUUUUAAAUUAUUAUUAACUUAAAAAAAAAAAAAAACAUGUUUGUAUUAGAUUAAAAAAGUAAUGACUAGUGGUGGGCCGUUAUCGGCGUUAACGUGCUGCAUUAACGUGAGACUCUUAUCGGGCGAUAAAAAAAUAUCGCCGUUAAUCUAUAGUACUCAAAGUUGGGUUGGGAGCUGGGUCUACUACACAAGCUAUGAUGAUUUCACCUUGAUGUUUUAGCGCGGAUGUAUAGGCUACCUAGCCGAAUUGCACUGUAGGGGGCGAGAAUGAGUCUUCGAACCUGUGUGUAUGCCUACUGUGAAAUUACCACAUCAAACGUGACGUGCUAACAUUGAUGCAGCUAUGAACCCGCCGGGUUUGUUUCAGGGGAAAAAAAAAUUAUUUUAAGAAGCUUCCCAAUGGAAACGUCGACAAGACUCACGCCUGGUUCACACUCUGUCUGCAGUGCGUAUGCAGUCCGUGUGUGUGGUGCAAAAGCAGCAUGGACUCAUUGUGCUUUCACACAGGAAGCGUUUGAACUCCGCUACUGAUCCGCGGCUGUUUAGUCC